Nomascus leucogenys (northern white-cheeked gibbon) is the source of this 103-nucleotide small nuclear RNA. The record is from Ensembl. NCBI's taxonomy places the organism in Eukaryota, Metazoa, Chordata, Mammalia, Primates, Hylobatidae.
GUGCUCAGUUCACAGCACAUGUGCUAAAACUGGAACAAUACAGAGAUUAGCAUGGCCCUGGCACAAAGAUGAUGUGCAAAUUCAUGAAGUGUUCCAUAUAAAA